CAGCAGGAAAAGGAAACAGACAGACAGACAGACAGACAGACAAACCUGACAGCUAAGUAAGGAACAAAGUACAGAAAAAAUCAUCUGCCAGUCUACCUGGACUCAUAAAUGAUUGACUUACUUGAGGCAUCGUCCAGAGCAGCAGUUCUCCUCUCCAAACUCAUCAUACGUCAACAGGUUAUCGCGGCUCCUGGCCCUGGGACCGUUAGCUCUAACCCCUGGCCGACUGUUCUGAUAAACCGCCGAGGGUCUGUGGAUCAUCCUGGACGUGGUCACCGGUGUAAGGUGUAACAGGAUCGUAUCGAGGUGAGAGGAUGGCAGAGGGUGAAGGAGUUUAAUCUGUGAUGAAUGUCAGCCGUGAGAGUUAUUGUUAAGACUUCCUCCUGUGACUGGAACAGAGCAGAACAAAGAUGUGGAG
This is a long non-coding RNA of Cynoglossus semilaevis (tongue sole), 418 nucleotides long. RefSeq lists it as uncharacterized. NCBI's taxonomy places the organism in Eukaryota, Metazoa, Chordata, Actinopteri, Pleuronectiformes, Cynoglossidae. The transcript is spliced from 3 exons. The record is from RefSeq and is a predicted model, not a curated record.